This 497-nucleotide ribosomal RNA is filed under the name uncultured bacterium. RNAcentral's name for it is "partial 16S ribosomal RNA". It matches the Rfam family "Bacterial small subunit ribosomal RNA", at positions 28 to 507 of the family's 1533-position model. The record is from RNAcentral.
GAUGAACGCUGGCGGCGUGCCUAAUACAUGCAAGUCGAGCGAACAGACGAGGAGCUUGCUCCUCUGACGUUAGCGGCGGACGGGUGAGUAACACGUGGAUAACCUACCUAUAAGACUGGGAUAACUGCGGGAAACCGGAGCUAAUACCGGAUAAUAUAUUUAACCGCAUGGUUCAAUAGUGAAAGACGGUUUUGCUGUCACUUAUAGAUGUAUCCGCGCCGCAUUAGCUAGUUGGUAAGGUAACGGCUUACCAAGGCAACGAUGCGUAGCCGACCUGAGAGGGUGAUCGGCCACACUGGAACUGAGACACGGUCCAGACUCCUACGGGAGGCAGCAGUAGGGAAUCUUCCGCAAUGGGCGAAAGCCUGACGGAGCAACGCCGCGUGAGUGAUGAAGGUCUUCGGAUCGUAAAACUCUGUUAUUAGGGAAGAACAAAUGUGUAAGUAACUAUGCACGUCUUGACGGUACCUAAUCAGAAAGCCACGGCUAACUACGUG